This is a long non-coding RNA of Marmota monax (woodchuck), 277 nucleotides long. RefSeq lists it as uncharacterized. Lineage: Eukaryota; Metazoa; Chordata; Mammalia; Rodentia; Sciuridae. The record is from RefSeq and is a predicted model, not a curated record. The transcript is spliced from 3 exons.
UAUAAAAGAAAGAAGUUGAGUCGUGGAGGGAGGAAAGAAAGAGAAAAGAAAGGACCAUCCACUCACCCAGGCAACUCCCACCCCCAGUCUCUGAAGUCUUUGAAGAUGAAGCCUUCUGGGAAGUUGGCAGUCCUGGGAGCCCAGGGCAAUGCUGAAAUGCCCUUCCAAACAAGGACCCAAACAGCUGAAGGGCUCCAGUUACCCAAGAGAAUAUCACACAUCAACUUAGAACAUAUUAAACAAGAUGGCAAGAUUAAUGAGCUUAUUCAAAAAAGAA